This 104-nucleotide non-coding RNA is filed under the name fish gut metagenome. RNAcentral describes it as "THF riboswitch". It matches the Rfam family "THF (Tetrahydrofolate) riboswitch aptamer". From Rfam's summary of the family: THF riboswitch presents a pseudoknot that joins P1-P2 and the loop of P3 and two THF binding. The record is from RNAcentral.
GCAGAGUAGAUAUACUGCGUGAGCGUUUUUGCUUAUAGUGCCAUAGAACGGGAUGUUGACUAUGGACGAAAGGGGGUUUCCCCUACGAUAGUAUAUCACAUCCG